Molecule: ribosomal RNA, 302 nt
Filed under: uncultured bacterium
Lineage: Bacteria
Description: partial 16S ribosomal RNA
Rfam family: Bacterial small subunit ribosomal RNA
Source: RNAcentral
GCAGUCGCCGCGGUAAUACGAAGGGUGCAAGCGUUAAUCGGAAGUACUGGGCGUAAAGCGUGCGUAGGCGGUGAGUUAAGUCUGCUGUGAAAUCCCCGGGCUCAACCUGGGAAUGGCAGUGGAUACUGGCUCGCUAGAGUGUGUCAGAGGAUGGUGGAAUUCCCGGUGUAGCGGUGAAAUGCGUAGAGAUCGGGAGGAACAUCAGUGGCGAAGGCGGCCAUCUGGGACAACACUGACGCUGAGGCACGAAAGCGUGGGGAGCAAACAGGAUUAGAUACCCCUGUAGUCCCUGUCUCUUAUAA